Molecule: non-coding RNA, 78 nt
Organism: Podarcis lilfordi (Lilford's wall lizard)
Lineage: Eukaryota; Metazoa; Chordata; Lepidosauria; Squamata; Lacertidae
Source: the annotation of a GenBank genome assembly
GCCUUUGAGUGAUAGCUCGGUUGGGAGAGCAUGAGACUCUUAAGCUCAGGGUUGUGAGUUUGAACCCCACAUUGGGCA